This is a long non-coding RNA of Coregonus clupeaformis (lake whitefish), 160 nucleotides long. RefSeq lists it as uncharacterized. The transcript has 3 exons. The record is from RefSeq and is a predicted model, not a curated record. Lineage: Eukaryota; Metazoa; Chordata; Actinopteri; Salmoniformes; Salmonidae.
GGAGAGGUGCUAUCUAUCUGCACCUAGAGGUGCUGGGCCUGGCUGAGGGCCGGCCCAGUCUCUUCAUAGGUGACAGAGUGGCACUGAAGAAGCCAAUCAGUGGAGGCGUGGUGAUGGAGUACAUCGGUUAUGUCACAGAGAUCAGUGACGAGGACGUGAG